GCUGGAGGAGGGGAGAUAAAAGGCAUUACAAAGAAGCAGCACUUUUGUUUCUAGCUCCUAGCCUUGGCUGUUCCUGCUGUUACUGGAGCUGGGGUGGAGGUUUGAUGGUCACCAUUGCUGGAGCCUGUUCUGAGCUUCCCCAGGAUCUUCCAUUAGACCCGUGUGGGGGCAGCUGGAGCGCAGCUGAGAAGUGAUGGUCCCCAGCCCUGGUGGUCCUGCCCAAAGCAGAGGGUUGAGCUGGGUCACCUCUCGAGAGCCUUCUCAGCCUGAGUGUCUUUCAACACUGCUUGUCAGAACAGAACUGGCAGGGCUGCAAAUGUUCCAACAGGAAGGACAGCACAGAAAAAAACAAACCCAACCCUGGGGAAGAGCUGGGAGUGAGGAGAGGAGUGGAUUUGUGAGGCGACAUGGCUGGGUGCCCCGCCGUGAGAACGGCGCUGGUGCUGCCGCCCCACAC
Molecule: long non-coding RNA, 457 nt
Organism: Passer domesticus (house sparrow)
Lineage: Eukaryota; Metazoa; Chordata; Aves; Passeriformes; Passeridae
Exons: 3
Source: RefSeq, a predicted model, not a curated record